GCCUACGUGCGGCAGCAGUGAGGAAUAUUGGUCAAUGGGCGCGAGCCUGAACCAGCCAAGUAGCGUGAAGGAUGACUGUCCUACGGGUUGUAAACUUCUUUUAUAAAGGAAUAAAGUGAGGCACGUGGGCCUCUUUGUAUGAACUUUAUGAAUAAGGAUAGGCUAACUCCGGGCAAGCAGCCGCGGUAAUACGGAGGAUCCGAGCGUUAUCCGGAGUCAUUGGGUUUAAAGGUAGCGUAGAUGGGUUGUUAAGUCAGUUGUGAAAGUUUGCGGCUCAACCGUAAAAUUGCAAUUGAUACUGGCAGCCUUGAGUACAGUUGAGGUAGGCGGAAUUCGUGGUGUAGCGGUGAAAUGCUUAGAUAUCACGAAGAACUCCGAUUGCGAAGGCAGCCUACUAAACUGCCACUGACAUUGAUGCUCGAAAGUGUGGGUAUCAAACAGGAUUAGAUACCCCUGGUAGUC
Molecule: ribosomal RNA, 462 nt
Filed under: uncultured bacterium
Lineage: Bacteria
Description: partial 16S ribosomal RNA
Rfam family: Bacterial small subunit ribosomal RNA
Source: RNAcentral